CAUCCGAAACUCUUUUGAAUAAUAGUGAGCAUGGGCAACCUUUUCUUGUUCCUGAUCUUAGUGGAAAUGGUUUCAGUUUUUCACCACUGAAAACGAUGUUGCCUGUGGGUUUGUCAUAUAUGGCCUUUAUAAUGUUGAGUUUCACUCGCUCAUUUGGUGCCGGGGGCAGAGGCCUCACACCUGGCUCUUCAGACCAGAAUCCAUAGUGCAAAAUGGCUGCUGAUCCCUCAGCCAGACGGGCUCUGUUAUCAUUCUUUUUAGUAAACAUGUAUUGAAGGCCACUCUGUGUGAGAAGUCGAAUAGUGCGAGAAAUAUUUUAAGUCCCUGAUGCUGAAAUUAAUAUAAAAAUAAGUAUUGACUUUAUUUCAUGAAUCAAUAUUUGAAUAACCAAGUAAACAAACAAAUCAGGCUUGAAAUCAGAGAGACAUGGGUUCAAUUCCUUGCCAUCGUUCCUUGAUGAGCUUUUGCAACUCCAGGCAAGUGACUUAACCUCUCAGAGCCUUUUUCCUCAUAUGUGUUAUGCUAUUCAAAGUAUCCAGCUUGCAGGGUGGUUGUGAGGAUCGAAGAGGUAAUACAUAUGGAAAGUAGCUAACAUGCUGUCUGGUAAGUAAGCCAUUCAAUAACUGUUUGCUUUAGGGAUUUUCCCCUUUUUCAAUUCCAGAUAUUCAUGUUUUAAUCCUAAAGCAGAAAUCAAAUCUAUCCCAAGUGGGCCGAUUUUCUGUGGACUAGGAUACCCUUUUACUUCUGUAGCCUCAGGUGAAACUGACAUCCUGUCCCAACACAACAUUGCAGGAGUGUUAUUAGAAACCACACACUUUGCUGCAGGGGAGGAAGAAAAAAGGAAAGAAAGAAAAUCAAGCAUCUGGUACAUGUGUUAUUGAUUUGGAGAUGUGGGCAAGCUGGCAGUCUGUAGUUGCUCUUUUCCUGAAGUGCAGAGCUGUCAGAAAUCAAUAUGCUAAAAGCAGUUUUGGAAAGCAAUCUCAGGAACCCCCCAGGGGAUUCUGAGAGCUGUUGCUGCAUUCAUCCUAGCUCUACGCAAUCCCCUACCCUAACCUGGUACUCUGUAAGAUAAGCAGUCAGUGCACUAUCUCCUCCCUCCCUGUUACAGAGAAGAUAAAGCUAUUCUGUCCAUCCCUCAUGGGUAGGCCCAAGAGCUUUGAAUCACUGUUCCAGCAGUGGAGUCAGAUUGAGGAUAGGAGAUUGAUUUCAUUUGACUUGAAAUUACUAAGUGGUACUGAUAAUAGCACCCUCUCUUGGAGCAUGUUAAACAGUGACCAGGGCCAGGUGAAUUUGCAUCUCUUCUGAGAAUUCUUGAGGGGAAGUGUGGCAGUAGCAAUCAACUUCCAAAUUUACACUUAGGUCUCAAUCUACACUGAGAAUUGUAACGCUAUUGGUGAUAAUAAAAAUAGUAACAGCCAUCAUUUAUUGAGUAGUUAUGUGCUAAAUUAUCACAACUCUGUGGGGAAACCAAGGCUUAGAGAGAGAGAGAGGAUAAGUAAUUGGCUUAAGUUUCCACUGGUAAUAAGGAGGAAAUAACAAGGGCAAGUUUGCAAGCCAGAUCUGUCUAAAUGCAGAGCCUGACCAGCUACACUCCACACCACCCUGCCUCUUGCCCAGAGUUUUAUAGGACCUGUGGCUUGUUCUUGCAAAAUGACUGUCUAGGUCUGGAGGACUCAUUUGUGGACAGGGGCGCAGUCACUACUGUUUGGAGCUGGGGAGUCAAGAAGCAAAUGAGCCACACAGGGUUUCAGCCCAGGACCUCAGCCUCAUGAUCACAAUAUUUUAAUCUUCUGAGCACUUGGUAAUACCUUCUACCAUUAAAGAUGGGUAGGCUUUUUACUUGCUGCUUCAAAUCAGGAAGUGAUUGAGCUCUUUCAAGGACUCAUUUGGCAUAACUGGCAUCUGCUUUCAAAACACUUGGGGAUUGAAUAUCUUCAGAGCAGUUCCCUCUUGGAUGGGGUUCUCCCGAUAUUGAUGGAUUUGUUUCUAAGGAAACAGAGACAGAAAGAACAAAGGAAUAAGAGACAGGAGUCCCCAUUUUGCUCUUGGAUUGGCCCCUGGCAUGCUAAUCGCUUAUCUACACCAGGGGUUCCAAAAAUGAACGUUUUAUACUCAGAUUCUUAGCUUAUCCCCAUGCAGCUCAGCCUCUUUCCAGAGCCUCCCCCAUUUGGAGCUACCCUUUGUGGCGGAGCCAUAACUUCAGGGCCACCUCCUGCUCCUUUCCUCCAUCCAUUCUCUUCAUCAACUCUCCACCUAUUCUUUCAUCCAGAUUUCACCUCCAGAUGCCCUCCUUCCCCUGUAAGGGAUACUCAGCGUGACGUGCACGUGACCCGUACAACUCAUGAUACACUAUUAGUCCACAGCACAAGUAUGGAUUCUCUUCCUUUCCAUAUUUGAUAUUUCCUUUACUCUGGCUUAGAAAUUUACAGGAAGCUAUAUGUAGAGAAAAGUACAAUUUGUCAUUAAGGCAGGUGAAUGAUAAGAUGCAGUGACCGCAUGAGACUCAGAUGGAAGCUUUCUGUUUUCCCCUUUGGAAUGGGCCAUCUCUGACUUGGCAUUUCCUGGUUCUUCAGAGGUGUGCACAGCACAAUGUUAUAUGAACAUGUUAUAUGAAUGAUUCAAUGUUAUAUGAAUCAGGCAGAUGAAGAGUGAAGGGGUCCACUAAAGAAAAAUCUAAUCGGACUUAAAAAAAUGAAUAUAGUACACAGCAUAGUGCCUACAGUUAAUACACAGUGCCUGUAUUGUAUAUGUGAACAUUUGCCAAAAGGGUAGGUCUUGGGACUUCCCUGGUGGCACAGUGGUUAAGAAUCUGCCUGCCAAUGCAAGGGACAUGGGUUCGAGCCCUGGUCCGGGAAGA
Non-coding RNA from Delphinapterus leucas (beluga whale), 2857 nucleotides. The record is from RefSeq and is a predicted model, not a curated record. NCBI's taxonomy places the organism in Eukaryota, Metazoa, Chordata, Mammalia, Artiodactyla, Monodontidae.